This 48-nucleotide non-coding RNA is filed under the name Schistosoma mansoni. The record is from RNAcentral. Lineage: Eukaryota; Metazoa; Platyhelminthes; Trematoda; Strigeidida; Schistosomatidae.
AUCCAGCUGACGAGUCCAAAAUAGCACGAAACGCACGUCAAACUGGAU